UGACGCUGGCGGCUGCUUACACAUGCCGAUUCAAAACGGAAACGAUGGGACGCUCCGCUCCCAGUUCGUCGAGUGGCGGACGGGUGAGUAAUACGUAGGAACCUGCCCUGUAGCGGGGUGAUAGCCCGGGGAAACCCGGAUUAAUACCGCAUACGCUCUAUGGAGGAAAGAAGGCCUCUGCUUGCAUGCUUUCACUAUAGGAUGGGCCUACGUCUGAUUAGCUUGUUGGUGGGGUAACGGCCUACCAAGGCGACGAUCAGUAGCUGGUCUGAGAGGAUGAUCAGCCACACCGGGACUGAGACACGGCCCGGACUCCUACGGGAGGCAGCAGUGGGGAAUAUUGGACAAUGGGCGAAAGCCUGAUCCAGCAAUGCCGCAGUGUGUGAAGAAGGCCUGCGGGUUGUAAAGCACUUUUAUUUGGGAAGAAACGCUCAGAGCUAAUACCUCUGAGAAUUGACGGUACCUUAAGAAUAAGCACCGGCUAACUCCGUGCCAGACAGCCGCGGUAAUACGGAGGGUGCAAGCGUUAAUCGGAAUUACUGGGCGUAAAGCGUGUGUAGAGUGGUCCAGUUAAGUCGGAUGUGAAAGCCCCGGGCUCAACACUGGGAAUUGACAUUCGAUACUGGCGGACUAGAGUUUUGGCAACGAGGACAGCGGAAUUCCGGGUGUAGCGGUGAACUGCGUCAGACUCUCCGCGAGGACCUCAGUAGGCGAAGGCGGGUUUCCGGGUUAAAACUGACACUGAGGCACGAAAGCUGGGAGCAACACGGUUUAGAUUCCCUGGUCAUCACGCCUAAAGAUUGUCA
RNAcentral lists this ribosomal RNA (806 nucleotides) under uncultured Gammaproteobacteria bacterium. RNAcentral describes it as "bacterial SSU rRNA". It matches the Rfam family "Bacterial small subunit ribosomal RNA", at positions 31 to 815 of the family's 1533-position model. The record is from RNAcentral. Lineage: Bacteria; Pseudomonadati; Pseudomonadota; Gammaproteobacteria.